UACGUAGGUGGCAAGCAUUGUCCGGAUUUAUUGGGCGUAAAGGGAGCGCAGGUGGUUUCUUAAGUCUGAUGUGAAAGCCCACGGCUUAACCGUGGAGGGUCAUUGGAAACUGGGGAACUUGAGUGCAGAAGAGGGAAGUGGAAUUCCUGGUGUAGCGGUGAAAUGCGUAGAUAUCAGGAGGAACACCGGUGGCGAAGGCGGCUUACUAGACUGUAACUGACGUUGAGGCUCGAAGGCGUGGGUAGCAAACAGGAUUAGAUACCCGGGUAGUCCCUGAGCGGG
This 282-nucleotide ribosomal RNA is filed under the name uncultured prokaryote. RNAcentral describes it as "partial 16S ribosomal RNA". It matches the Rfam family "Bacterial small subunit ribosomal RNA", at positions 524 to 803 of the family's 1533-position model. The record is from RNAcentral.